Oncorhynchus kisutch (coho salmon) is the source of this 1547-nucleotide long non-coding RNA. The record is from Ensembl. Lineage: Eukaryota; Metazoa; Chordata; Actinopteri; Salmoniformes; Salmonidae.
CAGGUGGUGGUGAGGAUGCACCACGUGAGUAGGGUGAGAGGCCUGGAGACUCAACUGGUGUGGGCCAUCUCCAAGGAGACAGCCAGGCUUAGUCCAGAGGGAAUCCCCUACUGUGCCACCAAAGUGCAGUCCAUCACUUGGAUCCAGGUAAGACAUAAAUACUACUGUAAUAGUAUUAGAUUAGGCUUUUCUUCACUUAUUCCAUUUGGCCUUAAUAUGUAUUCUCUCUUUGUCAGCGUGUGGCUGGCAGGGUGACCCACUAUGCGUCUCACCUCCGCCACGAGAUGUCUGUGGACGUGACGCUUGGCUGCUACCAGGUGUGUGUGUUUUGAGCAGCAGACUGAUGUCUCAGUGGUGUACGCCACUCUCCACAUGGGGCUGGACGGGCUUCUCUCCUCUUCAGCGUGGUCGGAGGCUGCCUCCUUCUCUACUCCCACCACUCAGCAGUUCACUGACCCAGAGCCUGAGGGCCACAACUGCUAUGAGGGCUGGGAGGAGGACCUGCUGCCUGAGGAGAGGGAGGUUCCUCUGCUAAAGUGAGUUCCUCUAAAUGUCUGUGUAGUCUGAGCUUGUCAAAUGCUGAAGGAUAGUGGUCAUAAUGCUGUUAUCCCCCAUUGACUCUAAUGGUUGACAUGCUUCAUUCCCUCCCUUUCACAGCCUCCACCUUACCACCAAGAGAGUGGAGGACAUCGCCCUGAGGCUCGUCUCCUUGCGCCAGGCCUUCACUGUGAGUGGACCCACUGUUCUUUUUGUCUCUAUGACUUCUUGUUCUGUCUCCAAGAGGAAGAGGUCUCACCCUAACUCUUCCCUCUUCCCUAGACCCUGCUUGGUUCCACCCUGAGCAGGAACCAUCUGUUUGUGGCGGGAAAGGUCCUCCUGGGCGGCCUUGUUCAGGCCAACCACAUGGACGAGGCCAAAUUCAUCCGUACCUAUAAUGACUUUGUGGACUACCUGAGUGACCCCUCCAAGCGGAAUGACAUUGCGAGGGAGCUGGCUGAGGCAAAGAUCCAUCAUGUGAACAUGAUAGAUGUCCUCUUUGAGCUGGUGCUGUUUGGGAUGAUGACAGCUCAGAAGUCCCUGAUGGUGCACCCUGGUGGGUUCGUGGAGCGUCUGUACGCUCUCCUGUACUCCUUCCUGCCCACUGCUGCCAACAUGGAGCCAGAGGCUGAUAGAUACCUACUGCUGCUCAAUGAUUCUUGUGACACUUUGCCACCCAACAGGGAUCUAGACACCAAUGCACUACAUUACUUUGCACUGAACUUGACAUUGUAAAAUAAAAUAAGUUGUAGUUCAAAAACAUUUUUGUUUCUGUCUUUUCAUCUAUUUGAUUUUAUGACCAUUUCCUCUUCCUGGAGGUAUAAUGCAUAUAUUAGAAUAUUACAUGAACAAUGAUGCUUUAUUAUCUGCAUAUGGAAAUAAAAAACAACGUUUAGUUGAUUGACAGAUACUACAGGCCCACACUUUAUAUGGUUUUGUACAGUGGUUUGUGAUACUGGGGCGGCAGGGUAGCCUAGUGGUUAGAGUGUUGGACUAGUAACCGGAAGGUU